RNAcentral lists this ribosomal RNA (478 nucleotides) under uncultured bacterium. RNAcentral's name for it is "partial 16S ribosomal RNA". It matches the Rfam family "Bacterial small subunit ribosomal RNA", at positions 28 to 507 of the family's 1533-position model. The record is from RNAcentral.
GAUGAACGCUGGCGGCGUGCUUAACACAUGCAAGUCGAACGGGAAAUCUUUCAUUGAGACUUCGGUGGAUUUGAUUUAUUUCUAGUGGCGGACGGGUGAGUAACGCGUGGGUAACCUGCCUUAUACAGGGGGAUAACAGUCAGAAAUGGCUGCUAAUACCGCAUAAGCGCACCGAGCUGCAUGGCUCAGUGUGAAAAACUCCGGUGGUAUAAGAUGGACCCGCGUUGGAUUAGCUAGUUGGUGGGGUAACGGCCCACCAAGGCGACGAUCCAUAGCCGGCCUGAGAGGGUGAACGGCCACAGUGGGACUGAGACACGGCCCAGACUCCUACGGGAGGCAGCAGUGGGGAAUAUUGCACAAUGGGGGAAACCCUGAUGCAGCGACGCCGCGUGAAGGAAGAAGUAUCUCGGGAUGUAAACUUCUAUCAGCAGGGAAGAUAGUGACGGUACCUGACUAAGAAGCCCCGGCUAACUACGUG